GUCACCUGCGUAUACCAAGCCCAGCAUCCGUGUGUUCUGGGAGGCUCAGAUAGACGUGUUCCACCACUGAAUCAGUCCGCAGCUGCUUGGCCGCUUGAGCCGACUGGAAAAGUUCAAAGGCAAUGCUUAUACACGUCUUCUGCAGUGGGGUUCCCAUCACUGAAGUUUUAGGCAACUUCCAUCAGGCAUUGCUGUACUGGGACUGGGCUAGGACAGCAGGCAGCAAGCCAGCUUUCUGGGAUAGAAGCAUUC
This is a non-coding RNA of Lonchura striata (white-rumped munia), 252 nucleotides long. Lineage: Eukaryota; Metazoa; Chordata; Aves; Passeriformes; Estrildidae. The record is from RefSeq and is a predicted model, not a curated record.